UACGGAGGGUGCGAGCGUUAAUCGGAAUAACUGGGCGUAAAGGGCACGCAGGCGGGCUUUUAAGUGAGAUGUGAAAUCCCCGGGCUUAACCUGGGAACUGCAUUUCAGACUGGGAGUCUAGAGUGCUUUAGGGGGGGGUGGAAUUCCGCGUGUAGCGGUGAAAUGCGUAGAUAUGUGGAGGAAUACCGAUGGCGAAGGCAGCUCCUUGGAAAGGUACUGACGCUGAGGUGCGAAAGCGUGGGGAGCAAACAGG
RNAcentral lists this ribosomal RNA (253 nucleotides) under uncultured bacterium. RNAcentral's name for it is "partial 16S ribosomal RNA". It matches the Rfam family "Bacterial small subunit ribosomal RNA", at positions 524 to 776 of the family's 1533-position model. The record is from RNAcentral.